AGAGUUUGAUCAUGGCUCAGAACGAACGCUGGCGGCAUGCCUAACACAUGCAAGUCGAACGAAGGCUUCGGCCUUAGUGGCGCACGGGUGAGUAACACGUGGGAACCUGCCUCUUUGUUCGGAAUAACUGCGGGAAACUGCAGCUAAUACCGGAUACGCCCUACGGGGGGAAAGAUUUAUCGCAGAGAGAGGGGCCCGCGUCCGAUUAGGUAGUUGGUGGGGUAAAGGCCUACCAAGCCGACGAUCGGUAGCUGGUCUGAGAGGAUGAUCAGCCACACUGGGACUGAGACACGGCCCAGACUCCUACGGGAGGCAGCAGUGGGGAAUAUUGGACAAUGGGCGCAAGCCUGAUCCAGCAAUGCCGCGUGAAUGAUGAAGGCCUUAGGGUUGUAAAGUUCUUUCGUCGGGGACGAUGAUGACGGUACCCGAAGAAGAAGCCCCGGCUAACUUCGUGCCAGCAGCCGCGGUAAUACGAAGGGGGCUAGCGUUGCUCGGAAUUACUGGGCGUAAAGGGCGCGUAGGCGGCCAUUCAAGUUAGGCGUGAAAGCCCUGGGCUCAACCUAGGAAUUGCGCUUGAUACUGUCUGGCUUGAGUUCGGGAGAGGUGAGUGGAAUUCCCAGUGUAGAGGUGAAAUUCGUAGAUAUUGGGAAGAACACCAGUGGCGAAGGCGGCUCACUGGACCGACACUGACGCUGAGGCGCGAAAGCGUGGGGAGCAAACAGGAUUAGAUACCCCAGUAGUCC
This 743-nucleotide ribosomal RNA is filed under the name uncultured bacterium. RNAcentral's name for it is "bacterial SSU rRNA". It matches the Rfam family "Bacterial small subunit ribosomal RNA", at positions 8 to 796 of the family's 1533-position model. The record is from RNAcentral.